This 49-nucleotide ribosomal RNA is filed under the name Phytophthora cryptogea. RNAcentral describes it as "partial 28S ribosomal RNA". The record is from RNAcentral. Lineage: Eukaryota; Oomycota; Peronosporomycetes; Peronosporales; Peronosporaceae. RNAcentral also lists the same sequence under 1 other name.
UUGGACCUGAUAUCAGGCAAGAUUACCCGCUGAACUUAAGCAUAUCAUA